GAAAUGCGAUAAGUAAUGUGAAUUGCAGAAUUCAGUGAAUCAUCGAAUCUUUGAACGCACAUUGCGCCCGCCAGUAUUCUGGUGGGCAUGCCUGUUCGAGCGUCAUUUCAACCAUCAAGCCCCCGGCUUGUGUUGGGGACCUGCGGCUGCCCGCAGGCCCUGAAAAACAGUGGCGGGCUCGCUGUCACACCGAGCGUAGUAGCAUACAUUCUCGCUCAGGGCGUGCUGCGGGUUCCGGCCGUUAAACGACCUUCAUAACCCAAGGUUGACCUCGGAUCAGGUAGGAAGACCCGCUGAACUUAAGC
Molecule: unclassified non-coding RNA, 305 nt
Filed under: plant metagenome
Description: partial contains 5.8S ribosomal RNA, internal transcribed spacer 2, and large subunit ribosomal RNA
Rfam family: 5.8S ribosomal RNA (bases 1-105)
Source: RNAcentral